RNAcentral lists this ribosomal RNA (1988 nucleotides) under Mycobacterium leprae. RNAcentral's name for it is "bacterial LSU rRNA". It matches the Rfam family "Bacterial large subunit ribosomal RNA", at positions 177 to 1969 of the family's 2925-position model. The record is from RNAcentral. Lineage: Bacteria; Bacillati; Actinomycetota; Actinomycetes; Mycobacteriales; Mycobacteriaceae.
GAGGGAACGCGGGGAAGUGAAACAUCUCAGUACCCGUAGGAGAAGAAAACAAUUGUGAUUCCGCAAGUAGUGGCGAGCGAACGUGGAAUAUGGCUAAACCGCACACAUGUCUAACUAGGUAGGGGUUGUGUGUGCGGUGUUGUGGGAUUGGUAUGUCUCAACUCUACCUGGUUGAGGGGUAGUCAGAAAGUGCCGUGGUUAGCGGAAAUGGCCUGGGAUGGCCUGCCGUAGACGGUGAGAGCCCAGUACGCGAAAGCCUGGCACCUGCCUUGUAUCAAUUCCCGAGUAGCAGCGGGCCCGUGGAAUCUGCUGUGAAUCUGCCGGGACCACCCGGUAAGCCUAAAUACUUCUCGAUGACCGAUAGCGGAUCAGUACCGUGAGGGAAUGGUGAAAAGUACCCCGGGAGGGGAGUGAAAUAGUACCUGAAACCGUGUGCCUACAAUCCGUCAGAGCCUCUUUGUGGGGUGAUGGCGUGCUUUUUGAAGAAUGAGCCUGCGAGUCAGGGACAUGUCGCGAGGUUAACCCGUGUGGGGUAGCCGCAGCGAAAGCGAGUCUGAAUAGGGCGUAUCACGUGUGAGCGUGUGUAGUGGCGUGUUCUGGACCCGAAGCGGAGUGAUCUACCCAUGGCCAGGGUGAAGCGCGGGUAAGACCGCGUGGAGGCCCGAACCCACUUAAGUUGAAGAUUGAGGGGAUGAGUUGUGGGUAGGGGUGAAAGGCCAAUCAAACUCCGUGAUAGCUGGUUCUCCCCGAAAUGCAUUUAGGUGCAGCGUUGCGUGGUUCACCACGGAGGUAGAGCUACUGGAUGGCCGAUGGGCCCUACUAGGUUACUGACGUCAGCCAAACUCCGAAUGCCGUGGUUUAAAAGCGUGGCAGUGAGACGGCGGGGGAUAAGCUCCGUACGUCGAAAGGGAAACAGCCCAGAUCGCCGGCUAAGGCCCCUAAGCGUGUGCUAAGUGGAAAAGGAUGUGCAGUCGCAAAGACAACCAGGAGGUUGGCUUAGAAGCAGCCACCCUUGAAAGAGUGCGUAAUAGCUCACUGGUCAAGUGAUUGUGCGCCGAUAAUGUAGCGGGGCUCAAGCACACCGCCGAAGCCGCGGCACAUUCACCUUCUAGGGUGGAUGUGGGUAGGGGAGCGUUCCUCAUUCAGCGAAGCCUCCGGGUAACCGGUGGUGGAGGGUGGGGAAGUGAGAAUGCAGGCAUGAGUAGCGAUAAGGCAAGUGAGAACCUUGCCCGCCGUAAGACCAAGGGUUCCUGGGCCAGGCCAGUCCGCCCAGGGUGAGUCGGGACCUAAGGCGAGGCCGACAGGCGUAGUCGAUGGACAACGGGUUGAUAUUCCCGUACCCGUGUGUGUGCGCCCGUGAUGAAUCAGCGGUACUCACCACCCAAAACCGGAUCGACCAUAUCCCCUUCGGGGGCUAUGGAGGUUCGGGGCUGCGUGGGAACUUCGUUGGUAGUAGUCAAGCGAUGGGGUGACGCAGGAAGGUAGCCGUACCAGUCAGUGGUAAUACUGGAGCAAGCCCGUAGGGAGAGCGAUAGGCAAAUCCGUCGUUCGUGAAUCCUGAGAGGUGAUGCAUAGCCGAUUGAGGCGAAUUCGGUAAGCCUCUGCUGCCAAGAAAAGCCUCUAGCGAGCAUACAUGCGGCCCGUACCCCAAACCGACACAGGUGGUCAGGUAGAGCAUACCAAGGCGUACGAGAUAACUAUGGUUAAGGAACUCGGCAAAAUGCCUCCGUAACUUCGGGAGAAGGGGGGCCGGAAUAUCGUGAACACCCUUGCGGUGGGAGCGGGAUCCGGUCGCAGAGACCAGUGAGAAGCGACUGUUUACUAAAAACACAGGUCCGUGCGAAGUCGUAAGACGAUGUAUACGGACUGACGCCUGCCCGGUGCUGGAAGGUUAAGAGGACCUGUUAACCCGAAAGGGUGAAGCGGAGAAUUUAAGCCCCAGUAAACGGCGGUGGUAACUAUAACCAUCCUAAGGUAGCGAAAUUCCU